AGGGUGAAGGUUGCGGUAUGGCUGGUACUGAGAUAAUGGCUGCUCCAGUAUCAGACAUGCCGCCCCCCUCCCUGUAC
Molecule: microRNA precursor, 77 nt
Filed under: Eptesicus fuscus (big brown bat)
Lineage: Eukaryota; Metazoa; Chordata; Mammalia; Chiroptera; Vespertilionidae
Description: microRNA efu-mir-9186l precursor
Source: miRBase by way of RNAcentral